UUGGGAGACAGGGAGGGCUCCGACUGCAUAUACAAACUCAGCCAUGACUGAUUCGCUAAAAUUUCUCUAUUAAAUUUAUCUCUGCACGUUCCUUGAGAGAGAAACCCCAGAGCACUUUAGGAGGACAAGAGGUGAUAGAGCAGAGAGAAAAAUCAGCUUCUUCCCCUUUUUGUAAGCAGGAAACCCAAGUCCCCAACUCCACGCCUAACAUAUAUGUGGCUCCAGUCAACGAUGAAUUUCUACAUUUUGGCAACGGUCAGAGUGAAAGUAGUCGCACUAUCUAUAGAAACUUUGAGAUGGAGAACACUUGAGUAUGCUACUGAAAAUGCAAGAAACACAUUUUGAAAGGAUGAAAUAAUAUCACUGAGUGACAGUAAAUUAACAUGCUGACAUUUGCAGACUUUCAGAGCAUUGCCAUAAAAAGAAGUAAUACAACAUGACUAAUUUGGACUUCUUCUUUCUUCCUUCCUAGGGAGAGACAGCCCUGCCCCUCCAAGGCCACCCUGCAGGCUUUGUCUACCAGGCACUUCCUCCUCUCUCCCAGGAAGCACGUGUGACUCUAACACUCCCUUGCGCUCCCACGUUGCCUCUUGGAGAUUCUAGGGGAGAAGGCGGUUUUGACUUCUGUGAUUCGAAGAUGCUCUCCCAAACAGCAGAAGGAUGUUGCUUGGCUGGCAGUGGGCACACAUGCUGGCCACUGCCCAGAUCCCCUGGCUGGUAGGGUGCCAGGGUUGGGAGAGUCCUCCCACACCCCUGAGCACCACGGCACUCAUGGGGAGACUGAGGCACAGACAGGCUGUGCAUUCCCAGCUCGCUCUGCUUGCUCCUGGACCAAGUAUCCAACCUGGAAAGUCCUCCCAGUGGAAAUAGGCAUUCUCUCAGCCUCCCAGCGCAGGGAGGAAUAGGAAAGGGCCCUUCUUAGAGCCAGCACAGUGCUUGGCACAUGGAAAGCACCUGGUUAACUUUGCUAAAGAAAAAUGAUUCUCCAAAGCCCCUUAGCGAGGGCCCUCCCACUCAACCUCUCCUUUCCUCAGAAGCCUGGCCUCCACUAGAGGCCAUUCUCUCUGGAGCAGGAUGCUGCUUUGUCCUCAGAGCUGUGCUUCCCAGGAACUGUGAGCAUGUGUUUGUGCUGGUGUGUGCAGCAUGGGAGAACUUGGAUCAGUAACAACGCAGACAAGAGCAGCUCCCGUCUUUUCUGAGACCAAGGGAACCAGGCUUCACAGAGGCUGCUUUCUGGGUGCCCUUCCCAGGGAAGCAAAUGAUGAUGAUAAUUAUGGUCAUCACCACUGGUUAUUGACCAUGGAGCGAUUAUAGGAUGCUGCAUGUUACCGGCUACCUCCCUCAUGACACAAGGAGAUACACAGUACUAUCCUCAU
RNAcentral lists this long non-coding RNA (1376 nucleotides) under Bos grunniens (domestic yak). Its description in RNAcentral is "lncRNA (ENSBGRG00000017346.1)". Lineage: Eukaryota; Metazoa; Chordata; Mammalia; Artiodactyla; Bovidae. The record is from RNAcentral.